Melanotaenia boesemani (Boeseman's rainbowfish) is the source of this 1052-nucleotide long non-coding RNA. RefSeq lists it as uncharacterized. Lineage: Eukaryota; Metazoa; Chordata; Actinopteri; Atheriniformes; Melanotaeniidae. The transcript is spliced from 4 exons. The record is from RefSeq and is a predicted model, not a curated record.
CAUGGAGUUCAAAGCUUCACACACCUGGAAACAGCAGCAGGGUUAUGUCACUGCUGCAGGUUUGUGAUGAAGUGGAGCGAAAACAUCCAGCUUUGGGAAAGAAGUGACAAAGAUUUGACUGCGUCUGCAAAAAGUGCUUCACCUGCCUCCAGAGAAAUCUCUGCCAUAGCAGCUGUACCUGGAGGCCAGAGAGGAGGCUCUCGUUGAAGAGUUACCAGGAGUUAACAGGUAUUGACUCUUUAUAUUUCUCCCAUACGUCUAUAAGGAGAACAUGAACCUUUUUAUCCCUCUUGGAGACUCUGAUGCAGACAUGUGGUGUUUAACUGAACCAAACACACACAACAAACGUGACCUUCCAUCUCCACACACAACUAUUCUCCUGACUGGUCAAGACUGGAAAAUGUCCUUCUUCACCAAACGAGCUCCAAACGUUGUGAAAGCAGACGAUGUUGAGGAAGGGAUCAUCUCUGCCUUCUGCACUGACUUUGUCUUCAAGCUGGCAAACCCGAGACACCUGAAGACACACUGACGUUCCUCCAGAGGUGCAUGGUGGUGACCAACCUCUGUCAAGAACUGUUAACAGGACCAUAAAUCUUCUUUAUUCACUCCAUUAUGCCGCAUACCUAGCAGUGCUUCUAAUGCUCCAGGAGAGAAUCUACCUUAAAUGAAUUCAGCACAAAGGACUUUAUAGAAUUUAUUAUUAUUGUUUUAUGGUAUAAAGUUAGAGGAAGAAAAACUGUAGAACAGAUGAUGAUGUUUGUUGUGAUUUCAUCUUUCAUUCUGUUGCAUGUUUGUGUGUGAAUGACGCCUAACAAAGCUUCUUUAUUUUCAUCACUGGCUGAAAUAAGUUAAACUAAUGACAAUAAAACCACCAAUAGAUGGAGGCCUGAGAAACGUAGGAAAGACCAGAACUGUUAGUUCCACAUGUGUCUGAUCAUCCAGUGUGUAACAGCAACGAGCAACGCAAAGCAACAUGUUUAGUUUUUUCUAGAAGUUUCUUUGUAACAUGCUCCAUCAUACAAGUACAACAUGCAUGUAAGCUGAGCCCCGUC